Molecule: ribosomal RNA, 253 nt
Filed under: uncultured bacterium
Lineage: Bacteria
Description: partial 16S ribosomal RNA
Rfam family: Bacterial small subunit ribosomal RNA
Source: RNAcentral
GACAGAGGUGCCGAGCGUUAGGCGGAAUCACUGGGCUUAAAGCGUGUGUAGGCGGGCGGGCAAGUACCUUGUGAAAUCCCACGGCUCACCCGUGGAACUGCUGGGUAUACUGGGCGUCUUGAGCCACCUAGGGGCCAGCGGAACAAAUGGUGGAGCGGUGAAAUGCGUAGAUAUCAUUUGGAACGCCAACGGUGAAAACAGCUGGCUGGGGGUGUGCUGACGCUGAGACACGAAAGCCAGGGGAGCGAACGGG